RNAcentral lists this transfer RNA (90 nucleotides) under Chrysochromulina tobinii. RNAcentral's name for it is "Chrysochromulina sp. CCMP291 tRNA". It matches the Rfam family "tRNA". Rfam says of the family: Transfer RNA (tRNA) molecules are approximately 80 nucleotides in length. Their secondary structure includes four short double-helical elements and three loops (D, anti-codon, and T loops). The record is from Rfam by way of RNAcentral. Lineage: Eukaryota; Haptophyta; Prymnesiales; Chrysochromulinaceae.
GGGUUGUUAGCUCAGUUGGGAGAGCGUCAGACUGAAGUUCGCAUCGAUCAGGCCAUCUGAAGGUCCCCAGUUCGAUCCUGGGUCAGCCCU